UACGUAGGGUGCAAGCGUUGUCCGGAAUUAUUGGGCGUAAAGAGCUCGUAGGCGGCUUGUCGCGUCGUCCGUGAAAACUUGGGGCUCAACCCCAAGCUUGCGGUCGAUACGGGCAGGCUAGAGGUAGGUAGGGGAGAUCGGAAUUCCUGGUGUAGCGGUGAAAUGCGCAGAUAUCAGGAGGAACACCGGUGGCGAAGGCGGAUCUCUGGGCCUUACCUGACGCUCAGGUGCGAAAGCUAGGGGAGCGAACAGG
RNAcentral lists this ribosomal RNA (253 nucleotides) under uncultured bacterium. RNAcentral describes it as "partial 16S ribosomal RNA". It matches the Rfam family "Bacterial small subunit ribosomal RNA", at positions 524 to 776 of the family's 1533-position model. The record is from RNAcentral.